UCUGGAGAGCCACAGCUGCCCACUCCUGCCAGGAGCAGGCUCUGGCCAGAGACACUUUGGGUCUGAGGCAGUGACUUAGAUCCCCGCUCCACAGACCGGCAGGUCCCCAGCGCUCUGCUCCGCUCUUGCCAUGGGGGACACUGGUGGGCCGUAACGUCCCAGAGUGGGGAUGUCUUGGGAGGAGUGAUGAUGGGCAGAUGCACCUCCCCCUGUGGCGGCCAGAGGUCCCGAACAGCUCUCCAGCUCUCCAGCUCUCCAGCUCUCCACUCUGCUUCCUGGAGAACUGGAGUUGCGAUCAGCAGCUCCCGCCUCACCCCUGCCUGCACCCUAGAGCCAGGCAUGGCAGGCUCACCCGGGCCACUGCCCCUCCUCAUCACAGAUGAGGAGACUGAGGCACACAGCGCUCAAGGCACCUGGACAAGGUCUUGACUCAUGCAGCCUGGCCUAGAUGCCAGCCCGGCACCACCCCUGGAUGACAGAAAGCACAGAGGCAGGGUGGUGUCAGACCAGCACGCCAGGUAGAGAGAAGAAACUACUCCUGGGAGCCAUGGCCAGCAGUGCGGAUGAGAGACAAGGGCUGUUGAGCAGUCAGGAAGCCUCUAGCCACCUUCAGGGAGGCAGCUAAAAGGACCCACCAAGGGCACCUGGCUGAAUCUGCUCCACACGAACUGGGCCCGGGGGGAAUGAUCCUCCAGAAGAAAGGCUCAUCUUUGGAAGACGGCGGCGAGUUUGAGCAUUUGUGUUCCCUCCCAAGCGUACGUGGAAUUAAUCCUCGAGUCCACGGUGUCGGGUGGUGUGGCCAUGGGGGAGUCACCCUCACGAAGAGAUUAGCCGCCCUCAAAAGGGGACUGACAAAGGUACUUGAGCCCUUCCACCCCCUCCUACUCCGUGAGGACAGAACCCCCACACCCCACACCCCCGGAACCAGCACUCCAGACGCCAUCUCGGAAGGAGAGGGAGAGCUCUGACCACCAGCAAGCCUUUCGGUACCCUGCCCUUGCACUCACCAGGCUGAAAAUAAAUGCUAGUGUCGGUACAGGAGCACAGGCAGGCUGCUUAAGGACAUUAGAGGCGGGAGAGCAAAGGAGAGGCGGGACAGGACUACUGCCUGCAUGCUGUUACUGGCUGAGAACUGGGCCAGAAAGGAGGAGACUAGCAGGAGUUGGAGAGGGUGAUGCCAGGUGCUGUUCACCGCGUUGAUGUCCCGAUGGGAGGUUCCUAAGAAGGUGACGGGAGGACUCCUGUGGGACUCACAGUUGUGAUUUAGCCGGCAGCAACAUUUGCACAGGGGAAUGACAGCUCUGAGUCUGAGACUGCUCACAGUAGCACCAUUCUCCAUAUUGAAAGGCUGAGGGGACCACAGAGAAACUGUUAACUAAAUAAAGGUGUAUCCCAGGACUGCAGAGCUCCAGAUGUGCCAGUGCCACUGAACCCCCGUGCUAACAGAUGCCCAAAGCCCCAGCACAGCUUCCAGCAGCAUUCAGCUCCCUGUCACAAUGCUGAAGGACUUACUGCUUGUUCAGAUGACGUGACAUGCUGUGGCUAGAACGCCUCUCCCAAAGGUCGUGUGUUGAAAGCUAUGAUGAGUAUUCUGAGAGGUGAGGCUGUGAGGAGGGGACAGGUCACGAGGGCGCCGUCCUCAUGAGUGAAUUAAUCCAUUCGUGGACGGCUGGGUUAUCACAGCAGUGGCUGUUGCAAAGCUGAUCUCUCCUGCAGACCUCUGCCACCGCUCAACUCCAUGACCCGGCAGGAAAGCCUUUCCAGGAGGCUCGCCACAUGCCGGUACCCUGCUCUCGGACUUCCUGGCCUCCAGAACCAUGCACUAGGUAAACCUCUACCUUGAGUGGGGGGGACUAAUUCAAGAUUUAACCCGGGGAGUGCUAAGGUACACACCUAGCCCUUUUCAUUUUAUUUAUUUAUUGAGACAGAGUCUUACUAAGUUGCUGAGACUGGCCUCAAACUUGUAAUCCUCCUGCCUCAGCCUUCCAAGUAGCUGAGAUGACAGGCCAGUGCCACCACACAUGGCUAAACUUUGGUUCUUUAUACAUUACCCAAUCUGUGGUAUGCAGUUAUAGCCACAGAAAAUGGACUUCGACACCCAGUGAUGGGCUCCUGACCUCUCCAAGCAUUUUCUAAGUAAGGGCUUGCAAAGAAGACUCUUUCCUGUCUCUGAGAUGUGUGGCUAUCUCCUACAACUCAGGACUGUAUCUCUCAAGGACCUGAAGGCCAUUCCCUUGAAAUGUUUUCCCCAAGAAAUCUCUGUGGGAGGACACAGUCCUCACUUUCAUCAUUGCAGCUGGCAGACACAGCUGGUCUAAUCACUCUGACACUGACCAGCUCUGCCAUUUGUCACCACACACACAUUCUCCCACUAAAGUGCUCAGUCAACCCUAUGUGAAUCAGAAC
RNAcentral lists this long non-coding RNA (2406 nucleotides) under Heterocephalus glaber (naked mole-rat). Its description in RNAcentral is "lncRNA (ENSHGLG00100047427.1)". The record is from RNAcentral. Lineage: Eukaryota; Metazoa; Chordata; Mammalia; Rodentia; Bathyergidae.